This is a long non-coding RNA of Bactrocera neohumeralis, 324 nucleotides long. RefSeq lists it as uncharacterized. The record is from RefSeq and is a predicted model, not a curated record. Lineage: Eukaryota; Metazoa; Arthropoda; Insecta; Diptera; Tephritidae. The transcript has 2 exons.
AUUAAAUGUGCCUUAACAGCCGCUUGUCAGUAAAGUGUAGUGAGCUAUUGAGCUAAUGAAUUGAAAACGCUUUUGUACAGAGAGAGAACAAAGAUCUUUUUACAAGAAAUAAGAGAAUGGAGAAAUGAUCAAAUUAUGAGUAAUUCCGUUUUAACCUGUAAAAGUCAAGUAUUUGAUGUAAAAGAGAAAUGUGAACAAGAAUGGAAUAAUUGGAAUUCGUGAUAUCAAGCUCUUCAUGCAUGCGAUAGCUUCUAAACGUCUUUUUAAGAUAUACUUUCUGUACAAAAAAUUAUAUUUAAAUAAAAAUAGUACUAUUUUUAAUUA